Aethina tumida (small hive beetle) is the source of this 1098-nucleotide long non-coding RNA. RefSeq lists it as uncharacterized. The transcript is spliced from 7 exons. The record is from RefSeq and is a predicted model, not a curated record. Lineage: Eukaryota; Metazoa; Arthropoda; Insecta; Coleoptera; Nitidulidae.
AAAAUUUAAAUAAUUUUUAAAUUGUGUAAAGUGGUUAAAAAUUAUAUUGUUAACAUAUUAUUGUCCAUUCAGUUUGCAAGCGAAACACUUCGAUGUCAUACUGGUGGCGUGCUCAUCAGCAUCGGCGCAAGAAAGGAAGAAGCUUUCCACUAGUUGUAAGUUUCUUGGGACAAAUGAGAAAUUAAACUGGCAUGAAUUUUUACGAAGAAAGGAAAUGAAAAUAAUCAGCAACGUAAAUAUAAAAGCAUUUAACCAAGAAACUAAAAAGCUUCCUAUCUCUUUGAAAGUUCGUUAGUACAAAUGAAAAACUAAAUUGGCAUGUCAUUUUAUGAGCAUUUAACCAAGAAACUAAAAUGCUUCCUACCAAGUUGAAGGUUCCUUAGUACAAAUGAAGAACUAAACUAGCAUAUCAUUUUAUUAGGAAAUUAUAUGAAAUGAGUCAGAAAUGUAAAUAUAUAAGCAUUUAACCAAGAAAAAUCUGUCCACCAAGUUUUAAACUGUCAUGUUAUUUUAUGAGGGAAGGAAAUGAAAUGAAUCAGAAAGGUAAAUAUAAAAGCAUUUAACCAAGAAACUAAGUUGUAACUUCCUUAGGACAAAUAAAAAUUUAAACUGACAUGUUAUUUUAUGAAGAAAGAAAAUGAAAUGAAUCAGAAAUGUAAAUAUAAAAGGUAUUAGGAUCACUUACUCGGAAACCACUCAUCGAGUUUUACUUUCUUCAGCCACUCGAACCAAUUGAUUAUGUCAGUCUACUAGCUAAAGUCUAUAUUAAUUUGGAUAUUGACAUAAGGACGAGUUGCUGCCCCAGUUGUGUACUUUCAUAAGUAACUUUAUGUAUUUAGUUUGCAAAUCUGUAACAAUAUAAUUUAUUCCUUCAAUAGUACAUAUCCACUUGUGUACUUGUUCAUUUGUCUCAACUAAGGUUUAUAACCUGCUUCUCUUUGAACAUUGGAGUUGAUGAAUUGACAAUUAUAACAAGUAUAUAAAGGUUGAAUUUAGUUUAAAAUAUAAUUGUUAAAGGUUACAGUUGUUAUGGUUUAUAUAUUUAUAUUUAAUAUAUUUUCUAUUUACCUUAACAAGGAUUCAAGAGUUCCUUUUUAA